Molecule: non-coding RNA, 126 nt
Organism: Helianthus annuus (common sunflower)
Lineage: Eukaryota; Viridiplantae; Streptophyta; Magnoliopsida; Asterales; Asteraceae
Source: Rfam
AAUAGUAAUAAUAUUGAGAAGAUUUAGUUGGCGGUGGAGCAUAUGAAAACUCCAUAGUUAAGCAUGUUUAAGUGGGAGAAGUACUAGAAUGGGUGACCUCUUAGGAAGUCUUCACCGGGGCAACCA